Molecule: ribosomal RNA, 460 nt
Filed under: uncultured bacterium
Lineage: Bacteria
Description: partial 16S ribosomal RNA
Rfam family: Bacterial small subunit ribosomal RNA
Source: RNAcentral
CCUACGGGAGGCUGCAGUGAGGAAUAUUGGUCAAUGGGCGGAAGCCUGAACCAGCCAAGUAGCGUGCAGGAUGACGGCCCUACGGGUUGUAAACUGCUUUUAUACGGGAAUAACGCGCCUUACGUGUAGGGCUUUGCAUGUACCGUAUGAAUAAGGACCGGCUAAUUCCGUGCCAGCAGCCGCGGUAAUACGGAAGGUCCGGGCGUUAUCCGGAUUUAUUGGGUGUAAAGGGUUCGUAGGCGGCACGUAAAGUCUGGUGUUAAAGGCAGGGGCUCAACUUCUGUACGGCACUGGAUACUGGCGGGCUAGAAUGCGGUAGAGGUAAGGGGAAUUCCUGGGGUAGCGGUGAAAUGCUUAGAUAUCAGGAGGAACACCGGUGGCGUAAGCGGUUUACUGGGCCGUAAUUGACGCUGAGGAACGAAAGCGAGGGUAGCAAAUAGGAUUAGAUACCCCAGUAGUC